Molecule: ribosomal RNA, 459 nt
Filed under: uncultured bacterium
Lineage: Bacteria
Description: partial 16S ribosomal RNA
Rfam family: Bacterial small subunit ribosomal RNA
Source: RNAcentral
CCUACGGGAGGCAGCAGUGAGGGAUAUUGGUCAAUGGACGAGAGUCUGAACCAGCCAAGUAGCGUGAAGGAUGACUGCCCUAUGGGUUGUAAACUUCUUUUAUAUGGGAAUAAAAUGUUCCACGUGUGGGAUUUUGUAUGUACCAUAUUAAUAAGGAUCGGCUAACUCCGUGCCAGCAGCCGCGGUAAUACGGAGGAUCCGAGCGUUAUCCGGAUUUAUUGGGUUUAAAGGGAGCGUAGGUGGAUUGUUAAGUCAGUUUUGAAAGUUUGGGGCUCAACCGUAAAAUUGCAGUUGAAACUGGCAGUCGUGAGUCCAGUAGAGGUGGGCGGAAUGCGGGGUGUAGCGGUGAAAUGCUUAGAUAUAACGAAGAACUCCGAUUGCGAAGGCAGUUCACUGGACUGCAACUGACACUGAGGCUCGAAAGUGUGGGUAUCAACAGGAUUAGAUACCCGGGUAGUC